GAGAGUAUAAUAAAGAUCUAUCAAACCAGUUGAGAAAAGAGUCAAUGGACAGAUUGGAGGAGGAGAAAGAUUUGAAUUGGAACCAAAUUUGGUAGAACUUACAUUCGAUAAUGUAACAAAUGAUUAAUUGGGUGGGCCAGAGAAAAUAGUAAAUUUGUAGGAUUUUGUUAAGUAGUUUUUAGAUAGGAAUCAAUUGUGUGUUUGCGAGGAUGCUGCACAGUUAGGAGUGGCGCUAUGUAGAAUAGAUAUUAGUUCGUUUCUGUAAGAUAUUGGUAAAAUAGACUAAUAGUCCGUAGAAUAGUUAGUUCAAGAAGACAAAUGAUUGACUUAGUUAUUAAAAACAGUUAAUUAUAAGAUUACGGAUAAAAUCUGAAAAUCAGGAGUAAUUAUAUAGGAGUUGUAGAAGUUUGUUGGGAUACUAGAUUAUGAUAGUCAUGAGCCGGGGUAAGCUUGGUGUUACCUCUUUGUUUCUUUGUUUCUUUGUUGUUGAAGAAUAAUGGAUAGUUUCUGAAUAGUGAGAAGUGAAUCUGUGGAAUAAAUCAGAGAUUGAUUUAUGAGUUAUUGAUUAUGUAAUUGGAGUACUGUGUAAUUGAAUUAUAUGAGGAGUUAUUGGAAGAUUAUGAUUGUUGUUUAUUGAGAGGUGUGUGUGUUUCGACAGAGAAAGUAUGUGAUAACAAAAAUUAUGUGAAUUCAGAUUGGUUGGAGUGAAGUCUGUUAUUCUUGGUGUUGGAUGGAAAUUAUUAUAUUUUGAGUAGUAUUUUGAAUGUGCAAGAUUGUACACUAAUGUUAUUAGUUUAUGAAAGAGUAUUGUUAUUGGGAGAAAGCAUCAUAGUAUUUCUUAGUAUUUUAGCAGUGAAGAAUAUAGUUAAUUGUGUGAUUCUAACAAGUAAAAUUCAUGCACUUAGUCUUUUCCUAUGUUUGAAUUUUCUUAUACAGGUUUAUGCUGAAAGAAAUUGUAGAAUAAGUAAAAUGACAAUCACAUUGAUUUAAGUGUGUAAUGAUUUUGUACAAACUUUACAAAAUCAUGGUUGUUUUAGGUGAUUCUAGAAUUCAUGAAAUAAAAAGGAUAUAAUAUUUUGGAGAAUUUUGUGAAUUUGGUAGUAGAUCUAUAGUUCAAAAUUUGAAGACUUACGAGAAUAAUUCUUUAAAUUAUAUGUUGUCAGUUUGAGCUUGAUUGAAUGAUUGAAUUGAAGGUUAUUGAAUUUCAAGUAGGUUACGGUUUCAAAAGUUGGACUUUGAGAGGCAGUUAGGAUUUUUAAGAUUUUCAAAAAUUUGCUAAUUGAAUUGGAAUAAAAUUUAUAUAUAAAGGUAAUGUACUUGAUUUUCUAAAAAUAUAUAAAAUUUGAAAAUAAUUGAAUAGUAUAAGAAGGAGAUAUUGGCGCUAAAAGACCAACAUCAAGGUUGAAGAAGGAUGUCAAUUGACAUUCAAGUAAAUUUUGUAAUUUUUCUUCUAUUUAGUAAGUUUGAUUCUCUUCAAAUUUUAUGUGCUUUUUUCCAACUUAGUUUUUCAGAAGUAUGUAAAAUAUUUUAGCAAGAUCAAAAAUUUCAUCAAUAUAUAUUGAGGUUCUAUACUAUAGUAGAAUUAAGUUGACUUCAUAAGGUUUUGGUUAGGAUUUGAUUUAGGAUUAAAAUUGGAUUAGGAUUUAGGAAUUGGUUAGGAUUUGGUUAGGAUUUAGAAUUGAAUUAAGAUUUAGGAUUUGGUUAGGAUUUAAAAUUAGAUAAAGAUUUAGGAUUUGAUUUAGGAUUUAGAAUUUAAAAUUUUCUUAAAAUUUAGAAUUUAGGAUUUACUUAAAGUUUAGAGUUUGGUUUAAAAUUUAGGAUUUAGAGUUCUCUUAGAAUUUAGGAUUUAGGAUUUGCUUAGAAUUAAGAAUUUGGCUUAGGAUUUGAUUGAAGUCCAUUAGAAUUUCUACCAGGAUAGAAUUAGUAUUUGGUUGAGAUUUAUUUAAGAUAUAUUUGUGAUUAUUCUAAUAUUUCUUCAAGAUUUUAAAGGAUUCUUUUAAAGUUUAUUGAAGAUUUCUUUUGAAUUUCUUUAAGAUUUAUUUAUUAUUUUUUUUUUAUAAUAAUUUUUUAAAGAUUUCUUUUGAAUUUGAUUAAAGCUUACUUAGAAUUAUUAAGUUUUAAAUAGAAUUAUUUAAAUUUCUAUUAGAGUUAGGAUUUUGUUGUUGCAAUUUCUAUUCUACCUUC
Molecule: long non-coding RNA, 2184 nt
Filed under: Physcomitrium patens
Lineage: Eukaryota; Viridiplantae; Streptophyta; Bryopsida; Funariales; Funariaceae
Description: long non-coding RNA (PPAT_LNC000058)
Source: RNAcentral